RNAcentral lists this ribosomal RNA (449 nucleotides) under uncultured bacterium. RNAcentral's name for it is "partial 16S ribosomal RNA". It matches the Rfam family "Bacterial small subunit ribosomal RNA", at positions 29 to 523 of the family's 1533-position model. The record is from RNAcentral.
AACGAACGCUGGCGGCGUGCCUAACACAUGCAAGUCGAACGAGAUCUUCGGGUCUAGUGGCGCACGGGUGCGUAACGCGUGGGAAUCUGCCCUUUGGUUCGGAAUAACAGUUGGAAACGACUGCUAAUACCGGAUGAUGACGAAAGUCCAAAGAUUUAUCGCCAGAGGAUGAGCCCGCGUAGGGUUAGCUAGUUGGUGUGGUAAAGGCGCACCAAGGCGACGAUCCUUAGCUGGUCUGAGAGGAUGAUCAGCCACACUGGGACUGAGACACGGCCCAGACUCCUACGGGAGGCAGCAGUGGGGAAUAUUGGACAAUGGGCGAAAGCCUGAUCCAGCAAUGCCGCGUGAGUGAUGAAGGCCUUAGGGUUGUAAAGCUCUUUUACCCGGGAUGAUAAUGACAGUACCGGGAGAAUAAGCUCCGGCUAACUCCGUGCCAGCAGCCGCGGUAA